RNAcentral lists this ribosomal RNA (441 nucleotides) under Sparus aurata (gilthead seabream). Its description in RNAcentral is "partial 12S ribosomal RNA". It matches the Rfam family "Bacterial small subunit ribosomal RNA", at positions 769 to 1409 of the family's 1533-position model. The record is from RNAcentral. Lineage: Eukaryota; Metazoa; Chordata; Actinopteri; Spariformes; Sparidae.
AAACUGGGAUUAGAUACCCCACUAUGCUUAGCCGUAAACAUUGACAGUCUAUAACAUUUUCUGUCCGCCUGGGGACUACGAGCAUUAGCUUAAAACCCAAAGGACUUGGCGGUGCUUUAGACCCACCUAGAGGAGCCUGUUCUAGAACCGAUAAUCCCCGUUCAACCUCACCCCUCCUUGUCCAUCCCGCCUAUAUACCACCGUCGUCAGCUUACCCUGUGAAGGAUAAAAAGUAAGCAAAACUGGUACUACCCAGCACGUCAGGUCGAGGUGUAGCGAAUGGAGGGGGAAGAAAUGGGCUACAUUCCCUUAUCUACAGGGAACCACGAAUGGCAUACUGAAAAUGUGUGCCUGAAGGAGGAUUUAGCAGUAAAAGGAAAGUAGAGUGUUCCAUUGAAGCCGGCUCUUAAGCGCGCACACACCGCCCGCCGGUCCACCCUC